UCGCCUCUUCCCCCCAAGGCUCAACUUGUUGUGCAUUCUGCAGCCAUGCUGCUUAUCACAGCUGUAUAGAAAGAAUAAAUGUUAUCCGAGUUACAAUAGCCAUUCUGUCCUCUCAGAUGGCUGUUCUUCUCAUCAUUCUUGUCAACGAGGUAUUUCUAAGACUGUCAGAAUCCACGGUGGCUGUGUGCAGGUUACAUGUGUGCUGUGGUAUUUUUUUCUGCUUCUCCAUUCAGGGUGUGACGGACAGGUGCUUCUGCACAGGUGUUCCUAAUCUGAGAGCAAUCAGCUGGGCUUCUUAAGGGAGUGGAGAGCCAGAGGAAGGCGUCAACUCGUCUUUGUUCACUCCGUGGUAAACAGCUCAACCUCUGCUGCACUGCAGUUUUUGCUGUCUGAAAAUCUUAUCGUCUUGUUUUGUCUUCCCUGAUCUACAGAUCCUGCCUUGCCUAGUGCUUCGUGGAUUUUUCUGUUCCGGCAUUUUCUCGUGCAAUGUCUGGAGGAGUGUGGAAACUCAAAGCCGUCGACUGAUAGUGGCUGCUCGAUUCUCCAACUCCAAGCCCAGCCUCCCAAAAAACUCUCCAAGCCAAACUCAGAGGAUUAUUCACCUGCCUGUCCACCCUCCGAUGUCCCUGCCAAGACACAGCGUAGUUCCUCCGUGGAAAAGGAAAGCAAACAACCUAGAAAAUACUGGAAAUCAUCCGCACACUGCCUGCCAGUAACAGACGCCGCGGAGAAAGACUUAUCUCCCCCUGCCUCGCUCAGACUCCCUUCCCAAGCAAUUCCAGUCCGAUCUGAUGACCCAGUCUUGGUCCCAGCUCUUUCACAGCUCAGCGUUCAUAAUAAACUAUUUAAACGUU
Molecule: long non-coding RNA, 854 nt
Organism: Girardinichthys multiradiatus
Lineage: Eukaryota; Metazoa; Chordata; Actinopteri; Cyprinodontiformes; Goodeidae
Exons: 2
Source: RefSeq, a predicted model, not a curated record